UUUAAAAACCUUUCGCCAGGCCUGGCACUGGAGUUCUCCGGGCGAUCCGAUAUUUGGUACCAUUAGACGGAAUGAACGCUUCGCCGGGCUAAGCCUCGCCAGCGCUGAGGACGAAAUAGUAAUGGAACUUGCCGCCGAACGAAAGUCCAGGCGGAGGCAAGAUCUACAGUACCAGGUCUCCUCAUUUCCGACAUAUUUUCGCAGAUGCUGGCGCACUCACGUCACCAGGCUGUUCGAGGGUAGGUUCAGCGGGGCCGAUGGGGUCAGUCGCUCUUCCAACCUCCGUGUAGUAACAGCUAGCUGGCAGUCGCUCCCAGUUUCUCUCUCUCACACACACACACACACACACACACACACACAUGUAAGCUAGUAAUAAGAAUGGAGUAGAGGGUAUCUACUCAUAGCCAUUGACAAGGCACAUUAUAAGAAUUACAUGUAGAAAAAAUAUGAAGUAGCGAGAUAUACAAAAUAUUAUAGCUGUUAUGCGUACAUUUGCGUUUGUGAGUAAACACACACCACACACACAAUACUACUACUACUAAUAAUAAUGACAGCAUCAACAUCUGGGGGCAAAUAUGGGGUAUUCUUGAGAGAGAGAGAGAGAGAGAGAGAGAGAGAGAGAGAGAGAGAGAGAGAGAGAGAGAGAGAGAGAGAGAGAGAGAGAGAGAGAGAGAACGGCAGCGCAAUGAGAGAACGGGGAAUAUAGAAUAGUUCCCCGUCUUCCUCACUGUCUCACAGCCAGCUGACGUCACAGGCUGCGCAGUGGAGGUAAAGUGAGGAGACCUGUUACUAUAGAUCUUGGGCGGAGGCUUCCUUUCCCGCUGGCGAAAGGCAUAAAUUUGAAUUGUUUUACUAUGUCUGCAGUAGCAUGAGAAGUUGAACGAAUUAGAAAAGACACACUAAUUUAUUUUUGCAAUAACUCAAGCAAGUUCUAUAAAUAUCGAUGUAUUUACAUCUUUUUUCAAGACUAUGUAUAGUAUCGCUCCAUGAGGAUUCAAGACGCCUGCCUCCUCCGGUAAGUGCACUCUGUAUUAUCGUUCACAUAAUUAGGUUAAUUUCCAUUUUUGUUUGAAUGUUUUGAUGAAUGCAGCGGUACUGUCAGGUGCAUCAAAGGUGUCUCACGCCCGCAGGUGAGCCAUAAUGAGCUGUGCCAAGGCCACAUUCUUGAGUCCUGCCCGGGCUAGUCAUAUUACUGAUUUUAUGCAGGAUGAGUUAAUAAAUUGUUAUUUUCAUCAUAAUUUCAUAAUGAAAUUUACAAAAUGAGUAUUCAGAAUCAUUCGUCAGUUGUGUAUUUAUAAAUUAUUGAUGGAUUUAAUAGGCAAAAUGUAACAAAAGCUGAUGAAGGUAUUUCCUGUUUCCUGUAUUUUCAGGUAUUGACAUAAGAGUGCAAGCAAGUAUAAAGGCUGUAGUCACUGUCUAGUGGGGUCACUCCCUCCUAAACCUAGAUCAAGAGCAAGACCCAGAUGAUGGCAGCCUUACAAGUUUUUGAGGAGCUUGAUGUCCUCGAGGAUGCUGCAGGGGAAAGGGUCAGACUGCCGAGAAGGAUUGUGAAGGAUCGCUUGGACUUAUUCCUAACUUUGACUGAAGAGGAAUUUACAUCCAGGUUCAGGAUAUCAAAGCAAAGCGCAAGGGCCUUACUUGCUGACUUACAUUUACCAGAGGCAGCUGAUGCAAGAGGAUGUCCUGUACCACCUCACCUUCAACUCCUCAUCACCUUAAGAUGGAUGGCCACUGGUGACCUGCACCAAACUAUUGGAGAUUGCCUGGAUGUCUCUCAGCAGUUUGUAAGUUCAUGCUCUUCACAUACUGUGCGUGCCAUUGCUGCUUUAUAUCAGCGGUAUGUAAAGUUUCCUGGAAGGCAUGAGUUAGGGUCCAUCAAGACAAACUUUGAAGCAAUCUCUGGAUUCCCAGGUGUCAUUGGUGCAAUAGACUGCACACACAUCCCCAUUCUCAGUCCAGGUGGUCAGCAAGCAGAAACUUACCGAAGCAGAAAGGGCUUCUUUUCAUUAAAUGUACAAGCAGUGUGUGGUCCAGACUUAACAUUUUAUAAUAUUAUUUGUCGAUGGCCAGGAUCAGUCCACGACAGCAGAAUAUUUGCUAAUAGUUCUCUGUAUGCUCAGUUGCAAGCUGGCGAUUACAAUGGCCAUUUGUUAGGGGACUCAGCCUACCCUCUUCGUCCCUUUCUUAUGACUCCUGUUGGGAAUCCAU
Molecule: long non-coding RNA, 2208 nt
Organism: Eriocheir sinensis (Chinese mitten crab)
Lineage: Eukaryota; Metazoa; Arthropoda; Malacostraca; Decapoda; Varunidae
Exons: 3
Source: RefSeq, a predicted model, not a curated record